GUCGUCUAUUGUUUUUAGGAAAUGGAAAUGAUGCUGAGCAAACAUCCAAGAUGGAUUUUAGGGAGUUGGUUACUACUAAAGCAAAUUGAGAAUGGAAGCUGCUGAGCAUAAGUGCGAGCCUGUACUCAAUUAUCGAGUAGAGAUAUCUCAAUUUUCACCACUUUGUCUUUUCUUUUACUCGUAAGCUCUCUUACCCUUGAACCAUUGCACCUGUCCAAUGCAAGAGCUGAAAAAAUUGGUCUAGAAGUAAACACCCAUAUGUGCAUAUCAAACUCCAAAAAAGCAGGCAUUUCUUGAUGUUGCGAUUAAUUGGGAGCCUGUUGGUCGAAUAAUUAUUGGGCUAUAUGGUGAUACUGUCCCCCUUCGGAACGACAAGAUUCAGCAAACUCNUAAGUGGAGCAGCAUGUGUUAGUUAUAGGAGGAAAGAAUUCGUUAAAAUCAUGCCAAACUACUUGCAACAUGGUGGACUAAGAUCAUAUGGUGUUGAUGCAGAGCUUGCAAGGAAAACAGAGAGUAAUGUGACCAUUGAUAUUCUUGUGAAUGAAUGGGAGAAACAGAAUGAAAAUUGUUCGGGAACUAAGAAUGUGGCAACGAGUGUUGGCAUUAUUGUAAGGGACCCUUAAAAACCACAUCCGGAAAUCAAGUUGGUUGCACGUAAAGGGAAGCUGGAAAUCAAUGAAGAAGACGGAAAGGAUCUUAACGGGACAGUUUCUCAUUGCCACUAAAGACUCACCGGAGCUGGAUGCCUAGAGUUUGGUUGUGGGAAGAGUCCUCAAGGGAAUGGAUGUUGUAAAGCAAAUGAGCAAAGUGAAGACUGUGCAAGAAAACACAGAUAUGGCUCAGUGGUAAAACAAGAGGGUUCUCUACGGAGCAUCAGAGGUUCGAAUCCUCGUAACAGUUGGAAGGCAUGUGGAGGCAAAGUUAUAGUAUAUUUUGUCGCCCCUCCGAAGGUUUUAUCCACACGUCAUAAAGGGAGAUCCACAGGGAGAAGAACCACUUUCUGAAUGUCCGACCCAAGUGUCUAUAAGUUGUGAUUACAUCCGGAUUUACCUUGUUGGUGUACCGAGGGGGAAGCCGCCACUCCUCG
Molecule: long non-coding RNA, 1087 nt
Filed under: Olea europaea subsp. europaea
Lineage: Eukaryota; Viridiplantae; Streptophyta; Magnoliopsida; Lamiales; Oleaceae
Source: RNAcentral